This 369-nucleotide ribosomal RNA is filed under the name Actinomycetales bacterium. Its description in RNAcentral is "bacterial SSU rRNA". It matches the Rfam family "Bacterial small subunit ribosomal RNA", at positions 1 to 373 of the family's 1533-position model. The record is from RNAcentral. Lineage: Bacteria; Bacillati; Actinomycetota; Actinomycetes; Actinomycetales.
UCUAUGGAGAGUUUGAUCCUGGCUCAGGACGAACGCUGGCGGCGUGCUUAACACAUGCAAGUCGAGCGAUGAAGCACCUUCGGGUGUGAAUUAGCGGCGAACGGGUGAGGAACACGUGAGAAAUCUGCCUUCAACUCUGGGAUAACUCCGGGAAACCGGGGCUAAUACCGGAUAUGAAACCUGCGGGCAUCCGCGGGUUUGGAAAGUUUUUCGGUUGAAGAUGAUCUCGCGGCCUAUCAGCUUGUUGGUGAGGUAAUGGCUCACCAAGGCGACGACGGGUAGCCGGCCUGAGAGGGCGACCGGCCACACUGGGACUGAGACACGGCCCAGACUCCUACGGGAGGCAGCAGUGGGGAAUAUUGGGCAAUG